AUGAACCCGGCGGGGCUGCCAGCGCCAGCCGAGAGAAGCGAGAGAGGCGAGAGCCGGGUCCCUGCCGGCGCGGCGGCGUGCGACAGCCCUGCUGCGGGGCUGGCGGCGGCGGGGCGGGGGGCGGGAGACGGGGCUGGGGUGGGGGGAGAGACCCUCGACGGCCGGGCCGGCAAGAAAUACAGAUGCAAAAGCAAGACACGGGUAAAUGAGAGAAGUGUUGUUCCUGCAAGCAGAGCAUCCUGUCUCCAAGACAGUGACCAAUAUUUGGAGCCAUCCCUUGGCAUUGACCAUUCAGCUGGAAGCAGAACAUGUCCAGGCCAAUCUUUGGGCCAAAUCCUGCUGGUAAGAAUUGUGUACCAAAGUAACUUUUUGCAGUUACUCCUAGUUUGUUUUAAGUAUCUCAAAGAGUCAGUCGGAAGAUGCCUGCUGACACCAGGAAGGCAGAGCUUGCGCUCAGCAUAA
RNAcentral lists this long non-coding RNA (462 nucleotides) under Anser brachyrhynchus (Pink-footed goose). RNAcentral's name for it is "lncRNA (ENSABRG00000006965.1)". Lineage: Eukaryota; Metazoa; Chordata; Aves; Anseriformes; Anatidae. The record is from RNAcentral.